UAGGGAAUCUUCGGCAAUGGGGGCAACCCUGACCGAGCAACGCCGCGUGAGUGAAGAAGGUUUUCGGAUCGUAAAGCUCUGUUGUAAGUCAAGAACGGGUGUGAGAGUGGAAAGUUCACACUGUGACGGUAGCUUACCAGAAAGGGACGGCUAACUACGUGCCAGCAGCCGCGGUAAUACGUAGGUCCCGAGCGUUGUCCGGAUUUAUUGGGCGUAAAGCGAGCGCAGGCGGUUUGAUAAGUCUGAAGUUAAAGGCUGUGGCUCAACCAUAGUUCGCUUUGGAAACUGUCAAACUUGAGUGCAGAAGGGGAGAGUGGAAUUCCAUGUGUAGCGGUGAAAUGCGUAGAUAUAUGGAGGAACACCGGUGGCGAAAGCGGCUCUCUGGUCUGUAACUGACGCUGAGGCUCGAAAGCGUGGGGAGCGAACAGGAUUAGAUACCCUGGUAGUCCACGCCGUAAACGAUGAGUGCUAGGUGUUGGAUCCUUUCCGGGCAUUCAGUGCCGCAGCUAACGCAUUAAGCACUCCGCCUGGGGAGUACGACCGCAAGG
Molecule: ribosomal RNA, 548 nt
Filed under: uncultured bacterium
Lineage: Bacteria
Description: partial 16S ribosomal RNA
Rfam family: Bacterial small subunit ribosomal RNA
Source: RNAcentral